Amphibalanus amphitrite is the source of this 328-nucleotide long non-coding RNA. RefSeq lists it as uncharacterized. Lineage: Eukaryota; Metazoa; Arthropoda; Thecostraca; Balanomorpha; Balanidae. The transcript is spliced from 3 exons. The record is from RefSeq and is a predicted model, not a curated record.
CCAGGACGAGCGCGUGUGCUGUGGUAGGUCACCGUGCCUGGAGACGGACCCGCAAUGUCGACUGUUCACGCAGCAGCCCCUGAUGCUGUCCCUGGGGGCUAUGUACGUCGGGGAGCGGUCGGCAACGGGGCCGUUGGACCUCACCGACCACGGCGCCCUGAACAAGCCCAUGCGGUACCACGCAUACCGCAACUUCAUCCUGUGGUGGUGGGGUUCGCUGGGACGCGGUGUGCGCCGCGCCGUCCCCUCCUGCGUGGUGUGGGGUAUCAGGCGGCGGUACCCGGCACCCGACCACAACUACGCCGGCUUCAAGCAGGUGCUCAGCGAG